GCUUGCUCUUAUGAAGUUAGCGGCGGACGGGUGAGUAACACGUGGGUAACCUGCCCAUAAGACUGGGAUAACUCCGGGAAACCGGGGCUAAUACCGGAUAACAUUUUGAACCGCAUGGUUCGAAAUUGAAAGGCGGCUUCGGCUGUCACUUAUGGAUGGACCCGCGUCGCAUUAGCUAGUUGGUGAGGUAACGGCUCACCAAGGCAACGAUGCGUAGCCGACCUGAGAGGGUGAUCGGCCACACUGGGACUGAGACACGGCCCAGACUCCUACGGGAGGCAGCAGUAGGGAAUCUUCCGCAAUGGACGAAAGUCUGACGGAGCAACGCCGCGUGAGUGAUGAAGGCUUUCGGGUCGUAAAACUCUGUUGUUAGGGAAGAACAAGUGCUAGUUGAAUAAGCUGGCACCUUGACGGUACCUAACCAGAAAGCCACGGCUAACUACGUGCCAGCAGCCGCGGUAAUACGUAGGUGGCAAGCGUUAUCCGGAAUUAUUGGGCGUAAAGCGCGCGCAGGUGGUUUCUUAAGUCUGAUGUGAAAGCCCACGGCUC
RNAcentral lists this ribosomal RNA (549 nucleotides) under Bacillus sp. (in: firmicutes). RNAcentral describes it as "bacterial SSU rRNA". It matches the Rfam family "Bacterial small subunit ribosomal RNA", at positions 78 to 610 of the family's 1533-position model. The record is from RNAcentral. Lineage: Bacteria; Bacillati; Bacillota; Bacilli; Caryophanales; Bacillaceae.